UUACGGCCAUAUUACAUUAAAAUACUGGUUCUUGUAUGAUCACAGAAGUUAAGCAACAUUGAGCCUGGUCAAUACCUAGGUGGGUGACUGCUUGGUAAUACCAAGUGCUGUAA
Molecule: non-coding RNA, 113 nt
Organism: Acanthosepion pharaonis
Lineage: Eukaryota; Metazoa; Mollusca; Cephalopoda; Sepiida; Sepiidae
Source: the annotation of a GenBank genome assembly